CUUAUCAAGAGCGGUGGAGGGAACGGCCCUGUGAAGCCCGGCAACCUGUGGGAGACCAUAAGGUGCCAAAUCCGGCGGGAAACGAAAGAUAAG
RNAcentral lists this non-coding RNA (93 nucleotides) under bovine gut metagenome. RNAcentral's name for it is "SAM riboswitch (S box leader)". It matches the Rfam family "SAM riboswitch aptamer (S box leader)". Rfam says of the family: The SAM riboswitch is found upstream of a number of genes which code for proteins involved in methionine or cysteine biosynthesis in Gram-positive bacteria. The SAM riboswitch acts at the level of transcription termination control. The record is from RNAcentral.